AUUUUAACAACAAUUUAUUGACACUGUUGAUAAGGUUUCUACUAUAGAUGCAAGAAAAAGAAGGUUCUUGUGCUUUCUGUCCAUCUUAUCUGGUUGUGGCAGCCCAGAUUGAAUGGGGGAAUACAGGA
RNAcentral lists this small nucleolar RNA (128 nucleotides) under Dasypus novemcinctus (nine-banded armadillo). RNAcentral describes it as "Small nucleolar RNA SNORA31 (ENSDNOG00000029693.1)". The record is from RNAcentral. Lineage: Eukaryota; Metazoa; Chordata; Mammalia; Cingulata; Dasypodidae.